UACGAAGGGGGCUAGCGUUGCUCGGAAUCACUGGGCGUAAAGGGUGCGUAGGCGGGUCUUUAAGUCAGGGGCGAAAUCCUGGAGCUCAACUCCAGAACUGCCUUUGAUACUGAGGAUCUUGAGUACGGGAGAGGUGAGUGGAACUGCGAGUGUAGAGGUGAAAUUCGUAGAUAUUCGCAAGAACACCAGUGGCGAAGGCGGCUCACUGGCCCGUAACUGACGCUGAGGCACGAAAGCGUGGGGAGCAAACAGG
RNAcentral lists this ribosomal RNA (253 nucleotides) under uncultured bacterium. Its description in RNAcentral is "partial 16S ribosomal RNA". It matches the Rfam family "Bacterial small subunit ribosomal RNA", at positions 524 to 776 of the family's 1533-position model. The record is from RNAcentral.